Long non-coding RNA from Mauremys reevesii (Reeves's turtle), 746 nucleotides. RefSeq lists it as uncharacterized. The transcript is spliced from 3 exons. Lineage: Eukaryota; Metazoa; Chordata; Testudines; Geoemydidae. The record is from RefSeq and is a predicted model, not a curated record.
AGAAGGGAUUAAAAGCAGCCAAGGGAUGCUGGUUGGGAAACAGACACAGGUGUGGACACACCCAACUAGGGUCCAGCUGACCCUGAUAAAAGGGCAGGCUGAGAGAACAAGAGAGACUCUUGCUCCAGCUGAAGAGCAGAGAGGACCAGGCUGCCUGGGAGAUCAAGCAGGGUACCUGAGGCAGAGCAGGGCUGGAGACAGGCAGGCAGAGCUCUGGCCUGAUGUGCUGAGAGCUUUGUUUGAAAGAAUAAGUUCCCUGCACAUGGCAAAAGAUAUAAAAGGCCCUGGAAACCCCUCCAUUUUGCCUCUAUCCUGCUCCGGCCUCUUUCCUGCCCAAACCUCUGGACUAUGAACUUUUAUGAAUGGAAGCAGUCUAAUCAAGGAAUUGAGGACCUUGGAAGCAGCUAGAGACUUGACUUAAGCCAGCAGUUUAUUCCAUUACUGCUACAAGCCUGAGUGUGGUCUUUGCAAUUACUUGCUCCCAUCAUCCCCCAGUCAGGGGCAGUGGUUUGAUCAGCAUGUUCAGGUUCCACCUGGGCAGCUACACACUCGGCAAUAAACACCAGGGCAGCAUUUCCCCUUUCUCUGACCCAUGCAGAGCUUCUACUUCCACUUCUCCAGGGUCAGCAGUUCUCUUACCUGGAGGUAGCUCUGGAGCAGCUGACUCUUGCUGGGAUUUGGAAUCUUUUCCUCCCAUUUUUUCUUCUUGCUGUAACAAGACAGAGUUUGCAGGGUCACUUCUCCUA